GUGAGUAGUUCAGAGUUUGAUCCUGGCUCAGGAUGAACGCUAGCGGCAGGCUUAACACAUGCAAGUCGGGGGGCAGCAUAACAUUGCUUGCAAUGUUUGAUGGCGACCGGCGCACGGGUGCGUAACGCGUAUGUAACCUACCUCAAACAGGGGCAUAACACUGAGAAAUUGGUACUAAUUCCCCAUAACACCUGAUAGGGCAUCCUAAUGGGUUGAAAGCUCCGGCGGUUUGAGAUGGACAUGCGUUGUAUUAGCUAGUUGGUGGGGUAACGGCCUACCAAGGCGACGAUCAGUAGCCGGCCUGAGAGGGUGAACGGCCACAUUGGGACUGAGACACGGCCCAA
Molecule: ribosomal RNA, 344 nt
Filed under: uncultured bacterium
Lineage: Bacteria
Description: bacterial SSU rRNA
Rfam family: Bacterial small subunit ribosomal RNA
Source: RNAcentral